Molecule: unclassified non-coding RNA, 507 nt
Filed under: Hevea brasiliensis (rubber tree)
Lineage: Eukaryota; Viridiplantae; Streptophyta; Magnoliopsida; Malpighiales; Euphorbiaceae
Source: RNAcentral
ACAGAAAUGGCUAAUAUUACAAGGUUGGAUCAGCCGAUUUUCCUAUAGAGAAAAAUUAAUGAACAAUUUUAUGUACUAGAAUACGUAUACAACCUUCACUCCUCAAAAAACCUGCUGUUUAUUCCUGUUCUAUAUAAUUGCAAACCAGAAGAUGUCGAGACAGUAAUGUUGGUGUUUGCAGGUGCAAAAAGGACAUCACCUUCAUGGAUAAUCUCGUCUGAUGAUGAGGUUAAUGUUCCCUCUCCCUCCACGACCAUAAAAAUGGAUGGACCGGGAAUAGAUGGAAAUUCAGUAGUUGAUUGUUCGGGAAGAAUACAACGAUCAACUUCAAAUUCAUCAAAAGGAGGAAUGUACCUCAUAACAUGAGGAUUUACUGCGGUGCCCUGCAGAAUUUCAGGAAAACCCUGUCUGUAAGUGAGCAUUGAGCAUAGUGUUUUAACAUCUCGGUGUUUUGGAGUUAGGCCAGCGCGAACAACGUUGUCCGAUGUUGCCAUGCAUUCAAUACAA